AAAACUUUAGUAUAAUUUAUUAUUUUAAAUUGCAAAUUUAAAAAUGCUUUCAGCAAGUUU
RNAcentral lists this transfer RNA (60 nucleotides) under Eurytemora affinis. Its description in RNAcentral is "tRNA-Cys". Lineage: Eukaryota; Metazoa; Arthropoda; Copepoda; Calanoida; Temoridae. The record is from RNAcentral.